This 69-nucleotide transfer RNA is filed under the name Aquarana catesbeiana (American bullfrog). Its description in RNAcentral is "Lithobates catesbeianus (American bullfrog) tRNA-Val". It matches the Rfam family "tRNA". Rfam says of the family: Transfer RNA (tRNA) molecules are approximately 80 nucleotides in length. Their secondary structure includes four short double-helical elements and three loops (D, anti-codon, and T loops). Lineage: Eukaryota; Metazoa; Chordata; Amphibia; Anura; Ranidae. The record is from RNAcentral.
CAAAAUGUAGCUUAACAAAAGCCUCUCGCUUACACCGAGAAAAUGUCCGUUUAACCCGAACCGUUUUGA